This 73-nucleotide transfer RNA is filed under the name Zootermopsis nevadensis. It matches the Rfam family "tRNA". From Rfam's summary of the family: Transfer RNA (tRNA) molecules are approximately 80 nucleotides in length. Their secondary structure includes four short double-helical elements and three loops (D, anti-codon, and T loops). Lineage: Eukaryota; Metazoa; Arthropoda; Insecta; Blattodea; Termopsidae. The record is from Rfam by way of RNAcentral.
GCCACGGUGGUCUAGCGGUUAGAACGCUGGACUUGUAAUCCUGGGGUCUCGGGUUCGAUUCCCGGCGGUGCCG